RNAcentral lists this ribosomal RNA (303 nucleotides) under uncultured bacterium. RNAcentral describes it as "bacterial SSU rRNA". It matches the Rfam family "Bacterial small subunit ribosomal RNA", at positions 355 to 656 of the family's 1533-position model. The record is from RNAcentral.
UGAGGAAUAUUGGUCAAUGGGAGAGAUCCUGAACCAGCCAAGCCGCGUGAGGGAAGACGGCCCUAUGGGUUGUAAACCUCUUUUGUCGGAGAACAAAACCCGGGACGAGUCCCGGACUGCGUGUAUCCGAAGAAAAAGCAUCGGCUAACUCCGUGCCAGCAGCCGCGGUAAUACGGAGGAUGCGAGCGUUAUCCGGAUUUAUUGGGUUUAAAGGGUGCGUAGGCGGUCCGUUAAGUCAGCGGUAAAAUUGCGGGGCUCAACCCCGUCGAGCCGUUGAAACUGGCAGACUUGAGUUGGCGAGAA